AUUUUAGUCAACUCUCUCAAAGCACCAGGAAGGAAAAAUGAUAGCUUUGCUUCAGCUUGUUUUCUUUUCAGCAACUUUUGGAGGUGUCCAAUCAGAAGUCCAGCUGGUGGAGUCUGGAGGAGAUGUGAAAAGGCCUGGAGAGUCCCUUCACCUCUCCUGCCAAGUCUCUGGGUUCAACUUUGGGGAUUAUGGCAUGGACUGGGUGAGACAGGGUCCUGGGAAGGGCUUGGAAUGGGUGGCCUACAUAAACUACAAUUCAGGUACAAUUCACUACUUGGAUAAAGUGAAGGGAAGAUUCACCAUCUCCAGGGACAAUUCCAACAGCCUCCUCUAUCUGCAAAUGAACAGCCUUAAACCCGAGGACACGGCUGUGUAUUACUGUGCAAGAGACACAGUGAGAGGAAGUGAAUCUGAAACCAGACAAAAACCCUCCUUUAAUCAAAACAGAAGAGUUGCCUUCCCUCCAACAUUCCACAUGAAAGCAGGGACAUUCUAUUAG
Molecule: non-coding RNA, 499 nt
Organism: Zootoca vivipara (common lizard)
Lineage: Eukaryota; Metazoa; Chordata; Lepidosauria; Squamata; Lacertidae
Source: the annotation of a RefSeq genome assembly